GACGAACGCUGGCGGCGUGCCUAAUACAUGCAAGUAGAACGCUGAAGAGAGGAGCUUGCUCUUCUUUGAUGAGUUGCGAACGGGUGAGUAACGCGUAGGUAACCUGCCUUGUAGCGGGGGAUAACUAUUGGAAACGAUAGCUAAUACCACAGAACAAUGGAUGACACAUUUCAUUUAUGUGAAAGGGGCAGUUGCUCCACUACAAGAUGGACCUGCGUUGUAUUAGCUAGUAGGUGAGGUAAUGGCUCACCUAGGCGUCGUAACAUAGCGGACCUGAGAGGGUGGUCGGCCACACUGGGAGUGAGACACGGCCCAGAGGCCUACGGGAGGCAGCAGGAGUGAAUCGGGGGCAAUGGGGGCAAACCUGACCGAGAAACGCCGAGUGAGUGAAGAAGGUUGUCGGAUCGGAAAGCUCUGUUGUAAGUCAAGAACGGGUGUGAGAGUGUAAAGUUCACACUGUGACGGUAGCGGAUCAGAAAGCGACGGCUAACUACGUG
This 497-nucleotide ribosomal RNA is filed under the name uncultured bacterium. Its description in RNAcentral is "partial 16S ribosomal RNA". It matches the Rfam family "Bacterial small subunit ribosomal RNA", at positions 28 to 507 of the family's 1533-position model. The record is from RNAcentral.